Molecule: ribosomal RNA, 479 nt
Filed under: uncultured bacterium
Lineage: Bacteria
Description: bacterial SSU rRNA
Rfam family: Bacterial small subunit ribosomal RNA
Source: RNAcentral
AAUGAACGCUGGCGGCGCGCCUAAUACAUGCAAGUCGAGCGAGAAGACGUAGCAAUACGUUUGUAAAGCGGCGAACGGGUGAGGAAUACAUGGGUAACCUACCCUCGAGUGGGGAAUAACUAGCCGAAAGGUUAGCUAAUACCGCGUACGCUUCUUGGACUUCGGUUCAGGGAGGAAAGCGAUGCCGAGGGUAUCGCGCUCUUGGAUGGGCUCAUGUCCUAUCAGCUUGUUGGNGAGGUAACGGCUCACCAAGGCUUCGACGGGUAGCUGGUCUGAGAGGACGAUCAGCCACACUGGCACUGCGACACGGGCCAGACUCCUACGGGAGGCAGCAGUAAGGAAUAUUGCGCAAUGGGCGAAAGCCUGACCCAGCAACGCCGCGUGAAGGAUGAAGUAUUUCGGUAUGUAAACUUCGAAAGAAUAGGAAGAAUCAAUGACGGUACUAUUUAUAAGGUCCGGCUAACUACGUGCCAGCAGCC